UAAUGAACCAUACAUUUCAUCAAAUGUACAUAAUUCAUCCACAGUUUAUAAUAAUUAUAACUGCUGAUGAUUCGCAAUAAACACUUUAAUUAAAAUUGUGUAUAAUUAACACUUUGUUACGAAUUUUAUAAGCUUGUAAAGCUUUCUGGAAGCAUUAUAAUUUCUUCCACAAUAAUUUUCUCAUUAAAAAUUAAUCCAUUAUCCACGCUUCAAACCUGGUUUCAUCACGCUUAUAGAUUGCAUUUCUGUUCGCUGUAAAUCUUUCAACUGUUUUUCACCUCUUCGCAUCAAAUACUCUAUCCUCAAAAUGUUAGAACGUGGAAUUUUUGCAUUCUUUCGAAAUUCUGCCUGAAUAUACUCCUUGAAGCCAGCCCGUCCUUCGCAAGCUCGAAUCAACCUUCUGUACAGACCAAAGAUAGAUAUUUGCAAACGACUGUAUUUUAUGGACAUAUCUAGCCUUUCUUCCUUUGACUAUCAAGUAUAACCCGUUAAUAUCCACUUUCAGGUAACAGACAUACUCGGCAAAUGAAGUCAAAUUAGUCAAUUGUGAUAAACCAUAAUUUGUCCCAAUUAUGAUAAUUUUCAAUGUUGUAUAAAUUAUAAAACACGUUGAAGGUUUUAUAUUCUUUAAUUUCACAAACAACAAUGUAUAUAAACUGAAAUUUCAAUGAAUUUUUUUGAUUUAGUCGAUUUUCAAAAUUCAUCCGCUCUUGGACG
This is a non-coding RNA of Paramuricea clavata, 717 nucleotides long. NCBI's taxonomy places the organism in Eukaryota, Metazoa, Cnidaria, Anthozoa, Malacalcyonacea, Plexauridae. The record is from the annotation of a GenBank genome assembly.